Molecule: ribosomal RNA, 261 nt
Filed under: Arenicellales bacterium
Lineage: Bacteria; Pseudomonadati; Pseudomonadota; Gammaproteobacteria; Arenicellales
Description: partial 16S ribosomal RNA
Rfam family: Bacterial small subunit ribosomal RNA
Source: RNAcentral
GAACUGGAGAGUUUGAUCCUGGCUCAGAUUGAACGCUGGCGGUAGGCCUAACACAUGCAAGUCGAACGGUAACGGACCGCUGGGAUUCCUUCGGGAUGACCUUGGUGCCGACGAGUGGCGGACGGGUGAGUAAUGCUUGGGAAUCUGCCCAACAGUGGGGGAAAACUCGGGGAAACCCGGGCUAAUACCGCAUAAUCUCUACGGAGGAAAGAGGGCCUCUACAUGUAAGCUCUCGCUGAUGGAUGAGCCCAAGUCAGAUUA